GCGCAGCGAAGCCGGCACAAUGCCAGCCGCCGCCGUAGUCUCCCCUCUCCUCCUCUCGCUCUCCUCGUCCUCCUCCCCCUUCCUCUCUUCCUCAUCCACCUCCUUUUUCCCACCCUCCUCCGCUGCCGUCACUCCACACGCCGCCGUCAGGACGAGGGCGGCUGUCUCCGUCCUCCGCGCGCUGCGCGCCGAGGCGGCCACCCUCCCCGUGCUCUCAUUCACCGGAGAGAAGGUCGGGGAGGUAACCCUCGACCUCAAAUCCGCGCCACCCUCCACCGCGCGCGCUGUCGUGCACCGCGCU
RNAcentral lists this long non-coding RNA (301 nucleotides) under Zea mays. RNAcentral's name for it is "long non-coding RNA (ZMAY_LNC000663)". Lineage: Eukaryota; Viridiplantae; Streptophyta; Magnoliopsida; Poales; Poaceae. The record is from RNAcentral.